Long non-coding RNA from Gasterosteus aculeatus aculeatus (three-spined stickleback), 1586 nucleotides. The record is from Ensembl. NCBI's taxonomy places the organism in Eukaryota, Metazoa, Chordata, Actinopteri, Perciformes, Gasterosteidae.
CCCCACCAACGGCUGCAGCUUCACCCUAAAGUGGUCCGGAAAAAUAUAUAUGAAUACAUCCCAAUCACCAAAUAGGAUAAGCACAAUUCAUUUCUCGUUGUCUGACAAAGUGUUGACAUUUCAUCUGAAAGGAACUUUCACAAGUCACAGUAUGACGGGGCGGAUCCAGAGAGCGAUGAUGUAUCCUCUCUGUUCCCUGUGAUGUGAUGACUCAGGUUGUGGAGGAACAUGCUGCUCGACCCUCAUCUGCAGCUUCAGCCUUCAAGCUGUGAAAGUCACACCUGUUGGCGACUGUACGUGUGUGCAGAGCAAGAACACUCGUGCGCUUUGUGCAUCUGCUCGGUGAACGUGUGAAACUGUGUGUAUGUGUGUGUGUGUGUGUGUGUGUAACAGAGACAUCUGUCACAAUCUUGUGAUAAUAUAUGAGUUGAAAGGACGGUGAAAGAUUGAAUGAGAGGAAUCUACGCGGCUGUGGUUUGGUGCGCAUUGUAAAAAGUAAAAAAACAAGUUUAAAUAAAACACCAAAGUACGUUAUACUUUUUUUUCUACCGUUUGCAUUCAUCAUGGGAUUCUUUUUUAAAUUUCUGCAUAAAAAAAAUCGGUUCAUGCGUGUUCGACACAGAGCGUGAUUUAGUUAGAAAGUGUCUGAGAGUCAGUGAAUAAGCGAGUGAGAGAACAAAUGACUCUGGGUGAAUGAGUGAGUGUUUGUCCUUAACGGGAUCAUAAAACUCAACGACCCUCCGCACGAAUAUCGAGGCAAACAAGGAGCCUUUUCGCACGAGGACGGCUCGAUAAUUGAUUCAUUCGAGUCCUUUCGGUAUCAGGGAGACGAGAUGCUCAUCCCUGCGACCGCCUCGCUCUUGACCCCCCCGCCUGUGAACAUGUCACCUCCAUCUCUGCACCCACCUCCGAUGCAGACACCACCCUGUCCCAUUAUGGCGUUAUCAUGACAAAUGCAACAAACGCCGCCGCUUGAAACAAGAGAGUGUGUGGGACACCGUAAGGACCCACGAGAAAGAAAAUUUAAACAAACUUUGAGUGUUAGUUUUCUGGGAGCUCGUGCAUGAAGAUGUGUGCUAUUUUUCGCCCAGAGAAAGUUUCCCACUGCUGUUUUUCUUUUUCUAACCUUGAGAAAACACAAAAGCUUCGAGGAAAGCGGCGUGUGCUUAGCGACAAAUCCAGAGCGAAUGAGAUGCAGAAGCAGUCACAGUUCUGCUCUAUUCAAACCAAAAAGAACCAGUAUACUAAACAUUAAAACCAUUCAGCUGCUUGAUAAUGCAAACAACACUUAUCAGGAAGUGAGGAUUUAUGCUGCUGUGUUAUUUAAUGAAUCAAUGUGCAUACACUGGGUCUUAUGAAUCCACUUAAUAAUUACAGAAAUAUAUUGUUUUAUGUAUAUGUGGAACCUUUCAUUGCUUAAUUUUAUUCAACUGUUAUAUAGUUGUUAUAUAUUCGGAUAAUCACAUUGAGACUUUAAACCUAUUUCACAGUUGUAAAAGAUAAAAACACAUGAACAAAAAAGAACUAAAUACUGUAGCAAGUUAUAAAUAGCAUCACAUUAUUUUCAUUCCAAGUUUGGGAAAGUA